AUCUGCUCCGAACAACCAGUUUGUGGCCAAUUUUGGGACACUUUCCAAAUAUUCCCAGUAGUGAUGUAUUUUUGAUCGGCUCUUAUGUUGGCAGUCGAAAGCCUGCCAAUGUAGAUGAUUAUAUGAGCGAUUUCGUAUCUGAACUGGUAAAAAUGUCUGAGAGUCCUCUCCAAAUUGGCGACAAAAAUUUAUCUUUAAAAUUAACGCCUUUUUUUUUUUGGGUUUCGCGCGCGCAAAAAAUUUUUGUAAUCUAAACAAUUUUUUAAUCAACACAAAUGCCUUACAUGCCCAAGUAUAUUUCUUCUUGGUAAGAUAAAUCCUGUUAGUGUAUUUAUUAUAAUUUAACCUGCUAACGAAUUUCUUUUCUUUUUAUUUAUUUUUCGUCUAGCCUUAAAAGGUGUGUAUGUUUCUAACCUGUUAAAUAGAUAUACUCACAAUUUGAACCUACUUUUUGUUAAUUUUGGCAUCAAUGGAAAGGUAAUUUAAAUGCUGUUUGAAUGAUAUAAUACUUUGCCCAACCCAUUACCUUUCCAUUGAUGCCAAAAUUAACAAAAAGUAAGUUUAAAUUGUGGGUAUAUUUAACUUUUGUUUCGUCCUAAUACUUAUGCCGACUAGUGUACACUGAAAAAACAAUUGAAACACUUUAAAUUCAAAUAUAUCGAUAUUUGUUUUCAUUUUCUAUCGUUUUACAGAGUACAUAGUCUAUUACACGCUUGCUAUUACAAUUAUAAAUGCAGUAUUCAGUAAAUUAUAUACUUCCUUGAUCAGGAUCACUAUGCGAGUGAAUCUACCCAUCUCCGUUUGUCUGUUUGAACGCUGUAAUCUCGGACACUAUAAAAACUAGAACAUUGAGUACUCCUAUUAAGGUUCCUUAGCUUUCGAUUUAUCGAAAAAUUGUUUUCCAAAUUAGCUACUCACACUCUAACGCCCACAAAAAUGUGUAAAGUGAAAUUAUAAUAUCAAGCAAAAACAUCUCUUAACGAGGUUAAAAUAUAGUGACGAUCUCUUCUACAGCAAACAAAAGUUCAUAUAUCCACUUUUGUGACAAAAAUGUAUUAUACGAUCUACAUAAUAAAUACGUUUUCUUAAUAUUUUUACAUUAGCCACGCUUUAUGAAAAUUGUACAGCUAAACACAAGCAUAUUGAAUAGCAUCGUGGCUAAUGUAAAAAUAUUAAGAAAACGUAUUUAUUAUGUAGAUCGUAUAAUAAAUUUUUGUCACAAAAGUGGAUAUAUGAACUUUUGUUUGCUGUAGAAGAGAUCGUCACUAUAUUUUAACCUCGUUAAGAGAUGUUUUUGCUUGAUAUGUUUUGUAGCUGCAAUAGCAACGAUCUGCAAGAGUGUACAAACUUCGGCUUUCCAAAAUUAGCUGCCCUUCAUAAUUAACAUAGUUUUCUAACAUAUUUCUUCUUUUUUUUUUUGAGAAAAUGAGUUUCCAAUUGCACGAAAUGGAAAAUGUGCCAACGCCGGUGGAGGAGAGUAGGUCUGGUGGCCUGGAUGGGCGGAUCCAACGCCUGAAAGUAGUCCACGCGAUGAGCUCUGAGGUCAGCAAAAUGAGUACGGAUAUGGCGGAGUUGAAGUCCGUGAACUCGGCCAUUCUCGACUCCACGGCGCAAAUGUUGGCUCUCUGGAGGAAAAUGGCACCAGUAGAGCCAAUCCUAAAGGCCGACUUCCCCAUCCGGUCGAUAGACCAUUUAAAGGAGGUGGACGAAAAGAUUUACGGGAAAAUGGAAAAAUACUAUACAACGCAAUGUAGGAGAAGAUAAUUUUAUGGGGCUGGAAUCUUCUGGAAUGCUGUCAUUUACGACUGGGCAGUGCUACCAGCACAAAUACAAUUUUUAUUCCCACAGAUCUGCAACUAGUCGACAUAUUGACGAAGCCAUCUGCACGGUUUAUUUCCCUGAGAAACCAGCUGGGACUUUCUGAAUAAUCUAACUACGAACCUUGUGAACUGUUGCUGAAAAUCCAUCGCUUUUAGAAGCCAAACAUGAAAUGGA
Molecule: non-coding RNA, 1995 nt
Organism: Drosophila suzukii
Lineage: Eukaryota; Metazoa; Arthropoda; Insecta; Diptera; Drosophilidae
Source: RefSeq, a predicted model, not a curated record